This 407-nucleotide ribosomal RNA is filed under the name uncultured bacterium. Its description in RNAcentral is "partial 16S ribosomal RNA". It matches the Rfam family "Bacterial small subunit ribosomal RNA", at positions 28 to 526 of the family's 1533-position model. The record is from RNAcentral.
GACGAACGCUGGCGGUGUGCCUAAUACAUGCAAGUAGAACGCAGUUGCGAACGGGUGAGUAACGCGUAGGUAACUGCCUCAUAGCGGGGGAUAACUAUUGGAAACGAUAGCUAAUACCGCAUACUGUGAGAUGGACCUGUGUUGUAUUAGCUAGUUGGUGAGGUAAAGGCUCACCAAGGCGACGAUACAUAGCCGACCUGAGAGGGUGAUCCGGCACACUUGGACUGGGACCAGGCCCCAAACCCUACGGGAGGCAACAGUAGGGGAUCGUCGGCAAUGGGCGGCAAUCUGACCGAGCAAAGCCGCGUGGGUUGAGAAGGUUUUCGGGUCGUAAAACUCUGUUGUUAGAGAAGCGUUAACUACCCAGAAAGUAACGGCUAACUACGUGCCAGCAGCCGCGGUAAUUC